RNAcentral lists this ribosomal RNA (1791 nucleotides) under Triticum aestivum (bread wheat). RNAcentral's name for it is "partial small subunit ribosomal RNA". The record is from RNAcentral. Lineage: Eukaryota; Viridiplantae; Streptophyta; Magnoliopsida; Poales; Poaceae.
AUGGCGCUCCUCCACCUCCUCUCCCUGCUGCUACUCUGCCCGGAGCCGGCGCUGGCGGGGGACCCGUUCGCCUACUUCGACUGGGAGGUCACGUACCAGUCGGCCCGCCCGCUGGGCGUGGCGCAGAAGGUCAUCGCCAUCAACGGCCAGUUCCCGGGGCCGCCGCUGAACGUGACCACCAACUGGAACGUGGUGGUGAACGUCCGCAACGCCCUCGACGAGCCGCUCCUCCUCACCUGGCACGGCCUCCAGCAUCGCAAGACCCCGUGGCAGGACGGCGUGGCCGGCACCAACUGCCCCAUCCCCGCCGGCUGGAACUGGACCUACCAAUUCCAGGUCAAGGACCAGGUCGGGAGCUUCUUCUACUCCCCCUCGGCCGCGCCGCUCCACCGCGCCGCCGGCGGGUACGGCGGCAUCGUCGUCAACAACCGCGACGUCAUCCCCAUCCCCUUCCCCUUCCCGGACGGCGGCGACCUCACGCUCUUCAUCGGCGACUGGUACGUCAGGUCCCACAAGGACCUCCGCAGGUCCCUCGACGCCGGCGCGCCCCUGGGGCCCCCCGACGGCGUGCUCGUCAACGGCCUGGGGCCCUACCGCUACAACGACUCCCUCGUCCCGCCGGCGAUCACCUACGAGAGGAUCAAUGUGGAGCCCGGGAGGACCUACAGGCUGCGGGUGCACAACGUGGGGGUCUCCACCAGCCUGAAUUUCAGGAUCCAGGGACACAGCCUGCUGCUCGUGGAGACCGAGGGCUCAUACACCUCGCAGCAGAACUACAGCAACAUGGACAUCCAUGUCGGUCAGUCCUACUCCUUCCUGGUCACCAUGGAUCAGAACGCCAGCACCGACUACUACGUAGUCGCCAGCGCCCGCUUCGUCGUCGCCGACCCCGGUGCCGUCGAUAAGCUCACCGGCGUCGCCAUUCUGCACUACUCCAACUCCCAGGGUCCGGCCUCUGGCCCUCUCCCUGCUGCCCCUGAUGACCAGUAUGACACUGCAUUCUCCAUAAACCAAGCCAGAUCCAUCAGGUGGAAUGUCGCCGCGAGCGGUGCCCGCCCCAACCCGCAGGGUUCAUUCCAUUAUGGUGACAUUACCGUGACUGAUGUGUACUUGUUGCAGAGCCGGCCGCCCGAGCUCAUCGACGGGCAACUGCGUUCUACUAUCAAUGGGAUCUCUUACAUUGCUCCAUCUACUCCAUUGAUACUUGCACAACUAUUCAAUGUCCCUGGAGUGUUCAAGUUGGAUUUUCCAAAUCAUCCGAUGAACAGACUGCCAAAAGUUGACACCUCGGUUAUAAAUUGCACCUACAAAGGCUUUAUGGAGAUUAUAUUCCAAAACAACGCCACAACCGUGCAGAGCUAUCACUUGGAUGGAUAUGCAUUCUUCGUCGUUGGGAUGGACUAUGGACUGUGGACUGACAAUAGUCGGGGUACCUACAACAAAUGGGAUGGAGUUGCACGGUCAACAAUCCAGGUAUUCCCCGGCGCUUGGACUGCUGUGCUUGUGUUCCUGGACAACGCAGGGAUAUGGAAUCUGCGCGUGGAGAACCUGGACAGCUGGUACCUGGGCCAAGAACUGUACAUAAGCGUGGUGAACCCGGAGGAGGACCACAGCGACAAGACGCCGCUUCCUCUACCAGAUAACACAAUUUUCUGCGGCGCGCUCUCGAGUCUACAGAAAGAACAAUCUCAUAGGUUCCAGUACUCGGGAGCUUCGCGGGUUGGGAAGACGGUGUCCGCGGUGAUGAUCUCGAUUGCAUGGCUGGCUGCUAGCUACCUGGUUGAUAUAUAG